Camellia sinensis is the source of this 1161-nucleotide non-coding RNA. NCBI's taxonomy places the organism in Eukaryota, Viridiplantae, Streptophyta, Magnoliopsida, Ericales, Theaceae. The record is from RefSeq and is a predicted model, not a curated record.
UACCAUAACCCACUCCACCUACCACCUCCACUACCACACACACUCACCUACUUCACCUACUUUCCUACACCUACCACACACACUCACCUACUCCCAAAUCCUCUCCUAUAUAAUAGGAAGCCUUGUAAUAUCAACAGUACAACAAUCAGAUAUCAAUAUCAAUCAAUAAUACAUAAAUAUUUUUUGCAAUAAACAUGUUUAAACAUUUAUGCAUGAAUAUGUCUAUAUUACUAACUAUUGGGGCGUUGCGAGAACCAAUUUGUGCACAAUUUCAGACUAGAUGAACUUGCACUUGACGAGUUAAGGACAAGACGACUGAAACAGAAUCAAAAGAAAGAAACAAAAACUGACUAGGCUAAUUUAAAUUACAAUUCACAAGUAAUAGGAAUGAGCUGAAGCUCGUCUCGUUAGCACUCUAAAUACAAUAUUGUUACAACAGAAAGAAAAAAAAAAUGAUGCAAUACUAGAUAGGGAUGGCAAUAUGAAACCGGCCCGACGGUGACCCGACCCCCCGACCCCGAAUUCAGCGGUUAUUCACCGAAAAAUAUCCCCUACGGGCCGGAGACGGUAUUCAAAAAUUCAUUCCCGAUGAUAUCCGAGCCAGGGACGGGGAUAUGUGUUUCAGAACCGGACCCGCCCCGCCCCGCCCCGGCCCGCAUGGUCCCCGAGGUAAAAUGACCCUUUUGUCCCUGGAUAUAUAUAUGCAUAUGCUUGUCUUUGUUAGGGUUUCACAGACACACACACUCAAAGCCUCUCUCACACACGCCGCUCCUCUCUCUCUCUCUCUCUCUCUCUCUCUCACUACUGGUCUAUCCCUCUCUCUUCCCUCCGUCACCGCCGCACCUCCCUCCGUCACCGACGAUCCUCCCUCCGUCACCACCGUGCCUCCCAUCUCUGUUUAGAAUUGCCAUCAAGCAGAGGAGAGGACCUGCAAUCUAAGUGCUUGCUUGAACUCUACGGACUGGAGAAUUGCCAUCAAGCAGAGGAGAGGACCUGCAAUCAAAGUGCUUGCUUGAACUAUACGGACUGGAGGUAUUUUGAUUCUAUUGCUUCCUUGCAUGUGGAGCUUAUAUUGAUCAGACACAGUUUGACAGUGAUUAUUUGAACUAAUGGAAGAUAUAAUUUGGUUACAUUUUGUUAAAAUGAUUAUUGCCACAAAUC